RNAcentral lists this ribosomal RNA (1275 nucleotides) under uncultured bacterium. RNAcentral describes it as "bacterial SSU rRNA". It matches the Rfam family "Bacterial small subunit ribosomal RNA", at positions 139 to 1399 of the family's 1533-position model. The record is from RNAcentral.
GGGAUAAACAUUUGGAAACAGAUGCUAAUACCGCAUAACAACAAAAAGCCCACAUGGCUUUUGUUUGAAAGAUGGCUUUGGCUAUCACUCUGGGAUGGACCUGCGGUGCAUUAGCUAGUUGGUAAGGUAACGGCUUACCAAGGCGAUGAUGCAUAGCCGAGUUGAGAGACUGAUCGGCCACAAUGGAACUGAGACACGGUCCAUACUCCUACGGGAGGCAGCAGUAGGGAAUCUUCCACAAUGGGCGCAAGCCUGAUGGAGAAACACCGCGUGAGUGAAGAAGGGUUUCGGCUCGUAAAGCUCUGUUGUUGGAGAAGAACGUGCGUGGGAGUAACUGUUCACGCAGUGACGGUAUCCAACCAGAAAGUCACUGCUAACUACGUGCCAGCAGCCGCGGUAAUACGUAGGUGGCAAGCGUUAUCCGGAUUUAUUGGGCGUAAAGAGAGCGCAGGCGGUUGCUUAGGUCUGAUGUGAAAGCCUUCGGCUUAACCGAAGAAGUGCAUCGGAAACCGGGCGACUUGAGUGCAGAAGAGGACAGUGGAACUCCAUGUGUAGCGGUGGAAUGCGUAGAUAUAUGGAAGAACACCAGUGGCGAAGGCGGCUGUCUGGUCUGCAACUGACGCUGAGGCUCGAAAGCAUGGGUAGCGAACAGGAUUAGAUACCCUGGUAGUCCAUGCCGUAAACGAUGAGUGCUAGGUGUUGGAGGGUUUCCGCCCUUCAGUGCCGGAGCUAACGCAUUAAGCACUCCGCCUGGGGAGUACGACCGCAAGGUUGAAACUCAAAGGAAUUGACGGGGGCCCGCACAAGCGGUGGAGCAUGUGGUUUAAUUCGAAGCUACGCGAAGAACCUUACCAGGUCUUGACAUCUUGCGCUAACCUUAGAGAUAAGGCGUUCCCUUCGGGGACGCAAUGACAGGUGGUGCAUGGUCGUCGUCAGCUCGUGUCGUGAGAUGUUGGGUUAAGUCCCGCAACGAGCGCAACCCUUGUUACUAGUUGCCAGCAUUAAGUUGGGCACUCUAGUGAGACUGCCGGUGACAAACCGGAGGAAGGUGGGGACGACGUCAGAUCAUCAUGCCCCUUAUGACCUGGGCUACACACGUGCUACAAUGGACGGUACAACGAGUCGCAAGCUCGCGAGGGUAAGCUAAUCUCUUAAAGCCGUUCUCAAUUCGGACUGUAGGCUGCAACUCGCCUACACGAAGUCGGAAUCGCUAGUAAUCGCGGAUCAGCAUGCCGCGGUGAAUACGUUCCCGGGCCUUGUACACACCGCCCGUCA